This 618-nucleotide ribosomal RNA is filed under the name uncultured bacterium. Its description in RNAcentral is "bacterial SSU rRNA". It matches the Rfam family "Bacterial small subunit ribosomal RNA", at positions 233 to 842 of the family's 1533-position model. The record is from RNAcentral.
GCGGUGCAUUAGCUAGUUGGUAAGGUAACGGCUUACCAAGGCGACGAUGCAUAGCCGAGUUGAGAGACUGAUCGGCCACAUUGGGACUGAGACACGGCCCAAACUCCUACGGGAGGCAGCAGUAGGGAAUCUUCCACAAUGGGCGAAAGCCUGAUGGAGCAACGCCGCGUGAGUGAAGAAGGUUUUCGGAUCGUAAAGCUCUGUUGUUGGUGAAGAAGGAUAGAGGUAGUAACUGGCCCCUAUUUGACGGUAAUCAACCAGAAAGUCACGGCUAACUACGUGCCAGCAGCCGCGGUAAUACGUAGGUGGCAAGCGUUGUCCGGAUUUAUUGGGCGUAAAGCGAGCGCAGGCGGAAAGAUAAGUCUGAUGUGAAAGCCCCCGGCUUAACCGAGGAAUUGCAUCGGAAACUGUGUUUCUUGAGUGCAGAAGAGGAGAGUGGAACUCCAUGUGUAGCGGUGGAAUGCGUAGAUAUAUGGAAGAACACCAGUGGCGAAGGCGGCUCUCUGGUCUGUAACUGACGCUGAGGCUCGAAAGCAUGGGUAGCGAACAGGAUUAGAUACCCUGGUAGUCCAUGCCGUAAACGAUGAGUGCUAAGUGUUGGGAGGUUUCCGCCUCUCA